GACGAACGCUGGCGGCGUGCUUAACACAUGCAAGCCGAACGGUAAGGCCCUUCGGGGUACACGAGUGGCGAACGGGUUAGUAACACGUGGGUGAUCUUCCCUGCACUUCCGGAUAAGCCUGGGAAACUGGGUCGUAUACCGGAUAGGACCACUGCCGUCAUGGGUGGUGGUGGAAAGCUUGUGCGGUGUGGGAUGGGUCCGCGGCCUAUCAGCUUGUUGGUGGGGUGAUGGCCUACCAAGGCGACGACGGGUAGCCGGCCUGAGAGGGUGACCGGCCACACUGGGACUGAGAUACGGCCCAGACUCCUACGGGAGGCAGCAGUGGGGAAUAUUGCACAAUGGGCGCAAGCCUGAUGCAGCGACGCCGCGUGAGGGAUGACGGCCUUCGGGUUGUAAACCUCUUUCAGCACCGACGAAGCGCAAGUGACGGUAGGUGCAGAAGAAGGACCGGCCAACUACGUGCCAGCAGCCGCCGGAA
This 478-nucleotide ribosomal RNA is filed under the name uncultured bacterium. RNAcentral's name for it is "partial 16S ribosomal RNA". It matches the Rfam family "Bacterial small subunit ribosomal RNA", at positions 28 to 523 of the family's 1533-position model. The record is from RNAcentral.